Molecule: ribosomal RNA, 440 nt
Filed under: uncultured Bradyrhizobiaceae bacterium
Lineage: Bacteria; Pseudomonadati; Pseudomonadota; Alphaproteobacteria; Hyphomicrobiales; Nitrobacteraceae
Description: bacterial SSU rRNA
Rfam family: Bacterial small subunit ribosomal RNA
Source: RNAcentral
CCUACGGGUGGCAGCAGUGGGGAAUAUUGGACAAUGGGCGCAAGCCUGAUCCAGCCAUGCCGCGUGGAUGAUGAAGGCCCUAGGGUUGUAAAGUCCUUUUAACGGGGAAGAUAAUGACGGUACCCGUAGAAUAAGCCCCGGCUAACUUCGUGCCAGCAGCCGCGGUAAUACGAAGGGGGCUAGCGUUGCUCGGAAUCACUGGGCGUAAAGCGCACGUAGGCGGAUUCUUAAGUCGGUGGUGAAAGCCUGGAGCUCAACUCCAGAACUGCCUUCGAUACUGAGAGUCUUGAGUUCGGGAGAGGUGAGUGGAACUGCGAGUGUAGAGGUGAAAUUCGUAGAUAUUCGCAAGAACACCAGUGGCGAAGGCGGCUCACUGGCCCGAUACUGACGCUGAGGUGCGAAAGCGUGGGGAGCAAACAGGAUUAGAUACCCCUGUAGUC